UUUAUCUAUUUUAGCAUUUCAUACUGUGGGAGUAAUUGAUAUUUUAUGCCAAGCUUAGUAAUGCUACACCAGACUCCAAUAGCAAUUAACACAAGUAAAGAUUUUGGCUUCUAGUAGGUUUUUAUGAUAGUGAAGUAGUUUGGGAAACCAUUGCCAUAGCAAUACUAUUUAAAACAAAAUAAUUAACAUAUUAACCCUUUUGUUAUAUAACAAUCCAGUACAAGAAAAAAAAAAAAAAAAAUUUCCGGGUGUGGCUGUAAAAGAAGGGCUGAUUAUAAUAUAGAGUUGCAGCCCUUUCUGUGUUUGAUCAUUAAAGUAGACUGUGUCAUGGACGGUGAUGCACUGUUAUUCACUGAAGUGUGUAGAGUUAUACUGUGUUGUUGUGUGGCAGGCUAAGUGAAUGUCAGACUUUAUAGGAGUGUUGCCUGCAAGAUCUGUCACUUUAGUGUGAUGUCAGAGUCCCAUCAUCCACACUGGAGCAUGUGAACAUGACACUAUCCAAUAACAGCAUAUCACACUUUCAUGAAUAUAACAAACAUGUUUCUAUAGAUAGGCAGAAAUAGUUGAACCACAAUUCUUUAAUUCACAGACAACUAUCACACAAUGCCAGGUAGGAAACCGGGUUGCUAGGAAACGCCAGGUAAUUGACAGGUUUAAAUGUGACUGUGGGCCUGUGAUUGGUCCGCUGCGCGACACAUCGAGUGGGCGUGACCUUAGGUGUGGUCCCCAAAUCUCCACUGAAGCGCACAAGCUCUCACUAUAUCCCGUAGCCGCUCGGGAGACUCGUGUUGUCGCAGCACAGCCUGUCGGGUUUGGAAGAACCACUGAGAGCAGCGAUGACUGUCGAACCGAUUCGCUCGACUCUGGCCACCGUCUCGACGGACGACACCUCUCUGGUGCUGCCGAGCGACAAAAUGCAGCGGACGGGGCAGCAGCGCGUGCUGGAGCAGGUGAAGUCCAUUAAGAGAAACAAGUCGAAGAUGGUCAAGAAAGACUCCAUUCCGUCGCCAACAUCUCCGGCAUCGAUGACAGAAUACAGUGAACCUAAAUUCCAGUUCUCACCUACAAAUAUGAACGGCACACUCUUCAAAUCUAAUGGCUCCAGCAUGACGGCAAGCCACAAAAGAAUGACUGUUCGCAGCUUGUCUGUGCCCAACGCGGGGAGGUCUACUACCGUACGAAUUAACCGAGCAACUGGACAAUCCAUGAAACUCCUGGAGAAUAACCAACUGGCUCGAUCACAGACAAUCAUCAAACCUUCCCCCAUCCAAUCACAGACAGUGAGGAAAGUCAGCUUGACCAAGAGCAAAUCAGAAGCACUGGGUGCGAGUAGUGCCGAGGGAUCUUUGCCUAACAUCACUCUGCAGGAGGCAGUGGAGUUUCUGUCAAACUCAGACAUCAGCUAUCAGCUGUGUGGAGCUUCAUUCAUACAGCACCAGACCUUCACUGAAGAAAGUUCCAAACAAGAGGUCAGCAAACUAAAACAAGAUCUCAGUCAUCAGAAUUAAACCUGUCUACUGAUGCAUAUUGGGUGAUUCUAUUAGAAUGAGCCAUAAAAACCACCAACUGUUUUCAUCUAUCUAUCUAUCUAUCUAUCUAUCUAUCUAUCUAUCUAUCUAUCUAUCUAUCUAUCUAUCUAUCUAUCUAUCUAUCUAUCUAUCUAUCUAUCUAUCUAUCUAUCUAUCUAUCUAUCUAUCU
Cyprinus carpio (common carp) is the source of this 1698-nucleotide long non-coding RNA. The record is from Ensembl. NCBI's taxonomy places the organism in Eukaryota, Metazoa, Chordata, Actinopteri, Cypriniformes, Cyprinidae.